ACCGGGCGCGGUGGCGCGUGCCUGUAGUCCCAGCUACUUGGGAAGCUGAGGUGGGAGGAUUGCUUGAGCCCAGGAGUUCUGGGCUGCAGUGCGCUAUGCCGAUCGGGUGUCCGCACUAAGUUCGGCAUCAAUAUGGUGACCUCCUGGGAGCGGGGGACCACCAGGUUGCCUAAGGAAGGGUGAACCGGCCCAGGUCGCAAAUGGAGCAGGUCAAAACUCCUGUGCUGAUCAGUAGUGGGAUCGCGCCUGUGAAUACCCACUGCACUCCAGCCUGGGCAACAUAGCGAGACCUCGUCUCU
RNAcentral lists this signal recognition particle RNA (299 nucleotides) under Cebus imitator (Panamanian white-faced capuchin). RNAcentral's name for it is "Metazoan signal recognition particle RNA (ENSCCAG00000004321.1)". It matches the Rfam family "Metazoan signal recognition particle RNA". From Rfam's summary of the family: The signal recognition particle (SRP) is a universally conserved ribonucleoprotein. It is involved in the co-translational targeting of proteins to membranes. The record is from RNAcentral. Lineage: Eukaryota; Metazoa; Chordata; Mammalia; Primates; Cebidae.